Molecule: non-coding RNA, 117 nt
Filed under: Oryzias javanicus (javanese ricefish)
Lineage: Eukaryota; Metazoa; Chordata; Actinopteri; Beloniformes; Adrianichthyidae
Source: RNAcentral
GUGUUGUAUGAUAGGAGAGACGGUUAGUACUCCACUUGAAAUAGCUACGUGACCUCCAACACACAUUCAGUUAAGGCACUGCCACCUACUUUGGGGCAUCUCUAACCAAGUUUUCUU